This 23-nucleotide non-coding RNA is filed under the name Xenopus tropicalis (tropical clawed frog). Lineage: Eukaryota; Metazoa; Chordata; Amphibia; Anura; Pipidae. The record is from RNAcentral. RNAcentral also lists the same sequence under 3 other names.
UGUAUGUGCUUGGCUGAGGAGCC